GGGGCCGCAGGAGGGGCGGGGCGGACACGGGCCGCGCGCUUCCUUUGUGCGUCGAGCCCCGCCUCGCGCCCUCCGGAAGGCGGGUUAGGGACGCCCGGGGCUCAGCUUAGGGAGGCGGGCGCCACGCCACGAGGAGGCUGCCCUGAUACCCGGUGCAAGUGCUCCUUGGCGGGGCGGCCCGCGACUCCCGCCUUGGACCGUUCACUCCCUGAGGGGCCUGGGGGGCAGUCAGAAGACUAACGACCACCAGUCACCGAGAGCUCAGUUCGUGCCAAACCCUGCUCGCGCUGUCCCCCACUUAAAUUGUUCACAACGACCCUACAAGUCAUUCUCCUUCCCACUGGGAACUGAAGAUCAGAGGGAAGUCAUUGCCCGAGUGCCCCGGUCACACCUUCGUGAGCGGCCUCGGGCUCGCGGUUGAGGCUGAUUGAGGAAGUGGGUUCAGGCGGCCCGCCGUGCCUGGCACACGGUCAGAGUCCCCUGACAGGACUUUCCCCUUUCUCUGAGAUGACAUUCAGGCCGCUUUGCUUCGCACUGCCCUCAGAGAAGCAGUGUGCCCAGAAGUCAAGUAUGAGCUCUUGAGUCAAAAUGCUUGGAUUUGAAUUCCAACUCUGCUGCUUACCAGCUGUGUGACAUGGGAUCCUAAAGAAGCCGGUUGCCAAGGUGACAGGAGCAGGAACAGCAGGGAGCUUGCCAUGGGGGAGGGGCUUUGCCCCCAAACAGCUGUCAGUGGGAGCAGUCCCAGCUGGGACUGGAGGGUCUGCCUGCUCUGGGAGGAAACAGCCCCCAGGAGAACACAUUCCUCUCUGCCAUACCCCCUCCUACUGCCCCACUGCAAGUCUCCACUGGUUACUUUCCCUGGGGGCAGCCAGCCAGCCAGCUCAAAAAAUGCUCCAAUAACAAACAAAAAAUGUG
Molecule: long non-coding RNA, 915 nt
Organism: Pongo pygmaeus (Bornean orangutan)
Lineage: Eukaryota; Metazoa; Chordata; Mammalia; Primates; Hominidae
Exons: 3
Source: RefSeq, a predicted model, not a curated record